Molecule: ribosomal RNA, 465 nt
Filed under: uncultured bacterium
Lineage: Bacteria
Description: partial 16S ribosomal RNA
Rfam family: Bacterial small subunit ribosomal RNA
Source: RNAcentral
GACGAACGCUGGCGGCGUGCUUAACACAUGCAAGUCGAACGGAAAGGCCCCCUUGUGGGGUACUCGAGUGGCGAACGGGUGCGUAACACGGGAGUAACCUACCCUUGACUUUGGGAUAACUUCAGGAAACUGGGGCUAAUACCGGAUAGGAGCUCCUGCUGCAUGGGGGGGGUUGGAAAGUUUUGGCGGUUGGGGAUGGACUCGCGGCUUAUCAGCUUGGUGGUGGGGUAGUGGCUCACCAAGGCGUAGACGGGUAGCCGGCCUGAGAGGGUGACCGGCCACAUUGGGUCUGAGAUACGGCCCAGACUCCUACGGGAGGCAGCAGUGGGGGAUAUUGCACAAUGGGCGGAAGCCUGAUGCAGCAACGCCGCGUGCGGGAUGACGGCCUUCGGGUUGUAAACCGCUUUCGCCUGUGACGAAGCGUGAGUGACGGUAAUGGGUAAAGAAGCACCGGCUAACUACGUG